AAAAAAAAAAAAAAAUUACGAUCUUUUUUGUCUUUCUCAUUUUUUUUGUGGACUUGUGAACGUUUCUUACAUCACCUAGCUUCCGCACUAUUUUUCCUCCAUUAGCAAUAUCCGAUUUUCAUCAUGACUAAGGAUGAUCAAAACAAUGAUUCUGUUCCUCCAACUAAUGAAUUUCACCCAGCCCUUUCCGUGACCAACAUAAAGAAUCAUAUCCCUUUAAUUCUUGAUCGAAAUUCCGCCAAAUACUCAAAUUGGGAGGAACUAUUCGAGGUUCAUGCUCACGCAUGUGCUCGAUCAUAUUAGCUCCAAAACGCCUCGUCCAAUCGGGAUCUCUGACUCCCUAUGGCAGCGGCUUGACUCCAUUGUUAAGUAGUGGAUCUACGGCACAAUCUCGACCGAUCUUCUUGACACGGUUCUUUGCGAAGGUGAUACAACUCAACAGGUGUGGGACAAAAUCAAGGCCAUAUUUUAAGACGAUAAAGCGACUCGGGCUCUUUAUCUUGAAAAACAAUUUACAGAUUGCCAUCUUUCGUCUUUCUUGGAUAUCUCUUCCUACUGCAAACAGCUCAAGUGCCUCAAAGAUCAACUUGCGAGUGUUGACCACCCGAUUUCUGAGAAGAUGUUCGUGAUGUGUCUCAUAGCCGGUCUUCGCAAUACUGACUUUGACAUAGUGGCUUCGAUUCUGGCUCAAACCGAACCGCUACCAAGCUUUGAAACACCGAGAUCUUGUCUUCUUCUUGGGGAAACAAGGUGCUCCAAUGACCAAACCAAUUCGGCCCAAUCUUUCAUUACACAACAAUCGAAUUCGGGAUCCUCUGGUCAAUCGCACCAAUCACCGACGUCUGGCAGCAACUUGGCAGCGGCGGCUCCGGUGGUCGUGGCUCUGAUCGCGGCUUAGGCAGAGGCACUAAGGGCGGCUUAGGCCAUGGUCUUGGCAAAGGCAGGGGACAGCCUUCGGCGAAGCAACCUCACAACACUUCGCAACAGGGGACUCAACAAGGACCUCAACAAGGAGCCCCUCAAUGGGCUGACCCACAAUAAGGCCAAUAUGCUUGGCCACCUCCCUGGUAUUUCACUCAAAGGUGGGCUACCCCCCCUUUCCUCACUUUAGGCAGUAGGCCUCCAAUGGUCAAGCCCAAUAGAACUCGGCACCUCAGGCUCAACAGCAAGCAUACGUGGUUCUUCCUACUGGUUAUGGUCCUCUCAUGACUCCUACGGAUCUCGGGAACGCCUUGUCCACCAUGACCUUGGCACCCCCCGAAUUAUGGAUGGUAUAUGGACUCAGGCGCAUCUUCCCACAUGACCAAUAACUCCAGAUCUUCGAACGGAGAAAAUAAUAACGAGAUGCAAUAGUUCGGGGGAUCUUUUUCCUAUCACUAAUACCCAUCCAUCUACAUGCUUAGCCACCUACCUCACAGCCGCUUCACCAACCACUUGGCAUAGUCGCCUAGGGCACCCUGGGGCUUCUUUUUUAUGCUUUCUUAGGAGUAGAAAUUUUAUUUAUUGUAAUAAGAAGCAUGACUCCACCUUUUGCAGUUCUUGUCAAAUUGGGAAACAUACUAGACUUCCUUUCUUUACUUCUAAUAAUACUACUAAUUGUGCUUUUGACAUUAUUGAUGCCGAUAUAUGGACAUCCCCCAUCCGUAGUAUUAAUGUUCAUAAAUAUUAUUUGA
Chenopodium quinoa (quinoa) is the source of this 1673-nucleotide long non-coding RNA. RefSeq lists it as uncharacterized. The transcript is spliced from 2 exons. The record is from RefSeq and is a predicted model, not a curated record. Lineage: Eukaryota; Viridiplantae; Streptophyta; Magnoliopsida; Caryophyllales; Amaranthaceae.